Molecule: long non-coding RNA, 7032 nt
Filed under: Homo sapiens (human)
Lineage: Eukaryota; Metazoa; Chordata; Mammalia; Primates; Hominidae
Description: non-protein coding lnc-ATP6V0D2-3:1
Source: RNAcentral
CUUCUUAGCUUCUGGGUAUCCAGGGCGGAACCAGCAGGGAGCUGUGGCUCGCAACAUCUUGCUGCCUUCGGGAGCACCGGCCUGGCUCUGCUCCCCUCCCAAAUGGCGGCUUGCCUCCAGGGCCGCCUCCUCGGCCACCUUCUUAGCUUCUGGGUAUCCAGGGGGGAACCAGCAGGGAGCUGUGGCUCGCAACAUCUUGCUGCCUUCGGGAGCACCGGCCUGGCUCUGCUCCUCUCCCAACUGGCGGCUUCAAUGAGUGCUGCGGCCGCCACUUGUCGCCUUUAUAUAGGCACAGGGCAGACUGGGUGGGACUUCUCCUUGAUAGGUUGGUGCUUCAGUCCAAUCACACUGAGCCUCAUCUUCCACCAGACUCCAGCUUGGGAAUGCCUCAGGGGGUGCGCUAAUGGAAUCAACUGGAACUCCCGGUUGCUAAACUUGGAGCUAGGUUGCUUUUCCUGAGUUAAGUAACUGUCCCUGCAAGGCAGUCCUAUAAUGGCUACUGGAAUUGGGCUACCUAGGAUUAAAUUAAGGUUCAGGGAGGUUGGUCAACUUGCUUGGGCCCACACAGCACCCCUUGGAGCCAGGACUGGGCCAGCAGUCUGCUGCAUGCUGGAGGGCGGGAUCCCUCUGGGGCUGCCUUUCCCUGCUCUGUGCACUCCGCCGCUGCGGGCAAAUUGAGGACAGGAAGCGGACCGCACCCACUUCUCUCCCAGGACUUGGGCAAUGUUCAACACAGGUGGUCUUCCAAAGGUUCAUAGAAAAUGCACAUGGUGAAGAAACUAUGCAUGGAUUUCCACUGGUUUGCACUAAAAUAAACUUGUCCUAACUUCUGAUAACCUUUCUGAACUAGAUCUAGUUUGAGGCACUAAGAAGGAUGAGACAUCCACUGAAAAGGACUCCCAUCAGAGCAACAUGAAUUCCACGAAAAUUGCAGCAAGAGGAAACAUCAAAUUUAUGGUGAAGCUUGGGUGGAAGAUUGAAGAAAUCAUUGACGUUUUAAGAAAAGCUUGUAAGGACACUACCCCAAAGAAAUGAACUCUUUACGAAUGUAUAGCUUGUUUCAAGAAGAGGUGAGAAGAUGUGGAAGAUGAAUCCUUCAGUGGCUGUGAAAACCACUGUGCCCAGAUCAGCUGCAGUUACGACGAGAGCUAUCAGUGGAAAUUUUAAGCAGGAGGGAUCACGAUCCUGACGCAUCCCUCUGACAAAUUGUAAGCGGCAGUUGGAACAUGGCUUCACCAAUAUGAUCUCGAAGGCAAAGCAUCAUGAAAGCGAUGGCUACCAAGAGGUGGCAGUGGUCCAGUCAAAGGAAAAGGAGGCCAGUCAGGAGCCCACAUCAUGGCAUCAGUGUUUUGGGACACUCAAGGCAUUUUGCUUGUUGACUUUCUGAAAGGCCAAACAUCUGCUUAUUAGGAGAGUGUUCUGAGAAGCUUAGAUAAAGCUUUGGUAGAAACAUGCUGGGAAAGUCUCACUAGAUCCUUGUUCACCACAUCAAUUCUCUGCUCAUUCCUCUCAUCAAACAAGGGCAAUUUUGUCAGUUUCAAUGGGCAGUCCUUAGGAAUUCACCUUACGGGCUGCUUUCAUUCCUUCUAAAUUCUUUUUGUUUCCUAAUGAUAAAAAGUCUCCUUGCCUUGCUUGGAAAGAUGAGAGAAAGUCUCCUUGCCUUGUUUGGACAGAUGAGAGAUGAGAUCCUCCUCUUCUCUCCCAGGACAGAAUGGUGAGACUUGAGUUUCCUUUCUCCUCACUCUUCUCCUCCUUGAGGGAGCUGCUGUGCCGGACAGACCUGCCCCCGUGUCUAGACACUGGUAGACUCGUUUAAGUUCCUCACAGGCAAUCCUCCAUGGGGUCAAAGUGGAAGGACUUAUUUCUUGAGGGCUCAGUAGUCCACAUCCUGGCGUGCACCUUCACCAGCCCAGGGCGGGGUAGAGGAGGGUGAAAGGGCGUGGCUCAGAGCCCGCUUCUUCCGCUCGGGCGUAUCCUGGGAGGAACCCUUGUCCGGUGAGCAUGUCUUCGUCUCUACCAAAUUCCCUAGUGGGACAUUUCUGGCAGCCCUACUUCUUCAGCAGCUUACGGGGGUCAGGUGGACCUCUGCUAGUCACCAGCCUGAAGCCCUUUCUCCAUUUCAGCUAUUUUGGCAGUUGCCUAGGUGACUUUUGAACCUCAUUAUCCAGAACAGCAAACGGACGAGGGGUGAGAAGAGUGGCCGUCUGGGUUUGCAGCAUAGUGCUGCCUUCUAGGAGUUGUGCAGUCUUCGAUUGUGUGAAACUUCACCUGGCUGAUUUGUGGCAAUGCCUCCACAAAUUCGCUAAAUUCAGUAGCUUUUGCCUUCCAAGAUUCAUUUACACAAUGUUGAAUGCUUUAAAUGAAUGAGCAUGAAGAGUGCUGGGCUGGAAAGUGAUGAGAUGGGUGGUAGGGACUCCUCGGAGUAGAGGAGUAGAGUUUUACUAUUAUGACUAGGAGGCAAAUAAAAAGAAGCUGAACGUGAUCCAUAAUAAAAGAAGCACACACUCACAGAGCUCCAUACCAACUACAUUAAAAUGGAAAUCAUGAUAUUUGGAAAUACAACUUAAUUGGAAAUCAUUAAGUAAUCUCAUCAACCUUUUUACAGUGGGUGGCAGGGCUAUGGAGGGAAAACAGCAAUGGUUCUGGCACCUACUUAACUUGAUUCCAUUAAAUUCACCCAACAGGCCUCCAGAGAACAUAUUACUGCUUUGAUAUUACAAAGGGAAAAACAGCUAUGGCGUCUCUGAAAAGCACAACGUGCUAGGACUGGAAUGACUUUAAAACCACACAUAAAUUUCUGAGAGAUUUUUGCCAUAAGGUACCAUCCACCUUACUGUAAACCACAUCCUAAAAUUGUCUGCAGUGCAAAUGGAUUAUGUGCAUCCAACAGGAAACAGCAUAGGUUGAGAAGCUGUUACUUAAUAGCUUCAUUGUCACCACGAGUGUAAAGUGCGGGGUCUCCUCACUUUUGCACCCACGUUUUGCCUGUUGGUUUCUCCACACUGUCAGGAGCAUUUGACCAACUCACUGUGGCUCAGGGUCCCUUACGCAGCCUGUUGGGGAAACCAGUGGGUAUUGAAGACCUGCCUCUGGUGUGCCAGGAGGUUGUGCCUGCCGGCCACUCUGACUUGCGAUCUUCCGCCUCAGUGUAUGGCUUCCUACACCUGGGUAAUUAACAUUGCCAGCAUGAUAAGGAGGUCCUUUCAUCACUAUUGCCACUAAUCCUUCCGACUCCUGUGCCCUGUUUCUCCUUUAUUGGAACCCAAGAACGAGUAAACAUAGCAUUUUCAAACAUCCCGCCCCCUUCCCUGGUAACACCAAUAUUCCACCAUCCUAAUUCCCUCACAAGCAUUCAGUCUCUCCACCCUGAGGUGGUGAAAUCCCUGCAGGCAUUUAUAAGUAUACCUGGACAGAAGAAAUACAAGAUACCGUUCUAUUAACUCAAUAUAGUGUUGCUAAGUUCGUACUUGUGCUUGGUUUAUGUUAUUUUAUAAAUACGUAUCACUCGCAUGGUUCCAAAUGCGGUAGGCACAGAGAGUAUAUAUGAUGGAAUUACAUCCUCCUUCCCUGCACUCAGCAACCGAGAUCUUCCCGCUACGGGCACUCAAAGGUUUCAUUGUCUGAAAUAUCAGCCUAAACGUAGUUUAUGUUUAGGAAGCAACAACCGUAAAUAGGCCCACAUCCAAACGGAGUGGAUUUAGGUUUCACUUUUUCAAGGAAAAACCAUCAAAGAAUUUUUCCACAUACUUAUAAAGCAUCCCACGUUUUUUGGGUCUCUAUCUCCUUCAAUUCUGCUCGGAUCUUAGUUAUUUCUUGCCUUCUGCUAGCUUUUGAAUGUGUUUGCUCUUGCUUCUCUCAUCCUUUUAAUGGUGAUGUUAGGGUAUGCAUUUUUGAUCUUUCCUCCUUUCCCUUGUGGGCAUUUAGUGCUAUAAAUUUCCCUCUACACACUGCUUUAAAUGUGUCCCAGAGAUUCUGGUAUGUUGUGUCUUUGUUCUCAUUGCUUUCAGAGAAUAUCUUUAUUUCUGCCUUCAUUUCGUUAUGUACCCAGUACUCAUUCAGGAACAGCUUGUCCGGUUUCCAUGCAGUUGUGCGGUUUUGAGUGAGUUUCUCAAUCCUGAGGUCUAGUGUGAUUGCAAUGUGGUCUGAGAGACCGUUUGUAAUAAUUUCUGUUAUUUUACUUUUACUGAGGAGUGCUUUACUUCCAACUAUGUGGUCAAUGUGGAAAUAAGUGUGAUGUGGUGCUGAGAAGAAUGUAUAUUCUGUUGAUUUGGGGUGGAGCGUUCUGUAGAUGUCUCCUAGGUCCGCUUGGUGCAGAGCUGAGCUCAAUUCCCGGAUAUCCUUUUUUAACUUUCUGUCUCGUUGGUGUGUCUAAUGUUGACAGUGGGGUGUUAAGUUUGCCAUUAUUAUUAUUAUUACUAUGUGGGAGUCUAAGUCUCUUUUGAUCACACUUUAAAGACCAAAAGGUAGAAGCGCAAAGACGUUAUCUGUCCAAUAUUACAAACCUAGUAAGUGGUGGAAUUUGGCCUUGAACCCAGAUCUGUAACUCCAGAGCCGAAGUGCUUCACCCACCUCCCUGUGGUGCCUCUACAGAAAAAGAGGUAAGCAGGCAUUCCGAAAGCUGGUGGGCCGGGGGGCUGGCCUUGUACUCAGAAGCCAUGGAAGUCCCACGUGGGGUGGCUAGUGGUGUAAGGACAGAGGUCUCGGAUGGGCAGAGGGAUGUGGACAGGCGCGAGGGCGCGCGGCAGGGACUCGGGGGACUGGGAGUGGCGGCUCGGGGCUGCGGGAGGCGAUUGGUGGAAGGACAGAGGUCUGGGAGGGGCAGAGGGAUGUGGACAGGCCCGAGGGGCCGCGGCAGGGAUUCCGGGGGACCGGGAGUGGGGGGUUGGGGUUACUCUUGGCUUUUUGCCCUCUCCUGCCGCCGGCUGCUCCAGUUUCUUUCGCUUUGCGGCGAGGUGGGCAGGGUGAGCUCUCGGGACUGAUGGCGGUUUUGGAAGAGGCCUGGGGCUAAGGACAGGCCAGGGCGGCGGGAGAGGCGGACCGGUGGCGUGGCUGGAUCUGGGCGCGCUGUCGGACCUUCCACAUCACCAGCUGCAGGCAGGCGUUUGCGUCCUCGCUGGAGUUGUGGCCGUCCUGGCUGUCCUGGAUGAUCUGUGCCAGGUAGUCGGCCGCGAGAUUCCUGAGGGAGCGCUUGUAGGGGAAACCCAGGUAGUGCGGGAAGAGCACGGCCGUGUCCACCACGGUGCUGUGGAUGAGCUUCAGGGCCAGCAGGUCGCUCUCCAGGCUGUGCCCGAUGAGGAUGGUUUGGGCGCUGAAAAAGCUCAGCAGGAUGGCUUGGACUUGGGGCAACGUGAUGCUCGUCUUGGCGACGUCGGCCUCGGUGACUCCGGAAAACCUGGUGUUGUAGUCCACGAUCUCGUUGUCGGGCUUGACGAAGGUGUCGUACACCACUCGCAUGUCGGCGUCCACCACGGUGACGCGGGUCAGCUCUAGGCCAUGCGUGGUGUAGCACAUCUCACAGUCCAAGGCGUAGAUUCCUGGAUAAGCGUCUCUGGACAACUCUUUCUUGAAGGUCUCCACGAAGCCAUCGAGGCUCUCCUUGCGGCCGUCCCGCACGUGCUGCUUUGCCACCUGGCAGCCCACAGAGCCAGGAGCAGCUGCACAGCAGGUGUACUGGCUAACCCGGCCUCCAGCCACCUGGCUCGAGCGGACCCGCCCCCAGUGAUAAUAACACAACUGGUCGCGUACACAGCGGCCCGAGGAGGACACCAGGUACUCGGUGCCACAACGGCAGCAGACCCUGCAGGAGGAGUCGCCGGGCCCCUUCCCCUGGCCAGUGAAGAGGACGGCGCCUCCGGGCCGCUCGGGGUGCGGGAAGGGGUAGCCGUUCUCCUUGAGCUGGUCCUGGGUGAGCAGGAACUCCUGGAGGCGGCUGUACAGGGCGGCCCUGCUGAGGCCGGGCAUGGAGCUGGGGGUCAGGCCCUUCAGUCUCUUGAGGGUGUUCAGGACCACGUUCAGGUACCUGUUCUUGUUGGGGCUGCAGUCGUAGGCCACCUUCUCCUCGUUCAGCGCCUUCUCCUCGGCCUCCUGCUUGGAGGCGCAGAACUUGAGACACUCUUCGGUGAACAGCUGGAGAUAGCCUCGGCGGAGGACGGUGGGGACUUGGCACCCAGAGCUUCGGAGGAUAAUGGGUUUCUUCAAACUCAAACUCGGUAAGGAUGCACGACGGACGAUUCGCUUAGAGCUGGUGGUGGCGGUGGUCUUGCAUGCCAUCCCUGACCUGUUGCGCGUCUUCCCUGGCUGUCUGCCGACCUUGGAGCCACGGGAGCGUUGGCUGCUGCUGGCCACCCGGGUUCUCUUGGCAUCUGUGUAACCUGUGACCAAGCAAGGGCUGGAAGAGUGGGCGAUCGUCUUCCUCUUCCUGGGGGCUGAGAUGCGGACUCCCGAGGGCCUCUCUGUCAGCCUUGGGGCGGCUGGCAAGCGGCAGGCCGAUCCCCUCUGCGCAGGGAAGUAGCACGACUCCGUCACCAUCUUGGGCCACGCUGGGGGCACCGCCGGACCCCUGUUCUGGGGCUCCGCCUGGAUGUCCACAAAUGCUGAGGCCUGCUUGUGCAUCUGGGGCACCCAGAGCCCGAAGCUCUGGGCAGGCUGAUGAGAGGGCAGUGGGAAUUCUGGAGCCUCGAGGGCCGCCUCCUCGGCCACCUUCUUAGCUUCUGGGUAUCCAGGUGGGAACCAGCAGGGAGCUGUGGCUCGCAACAUCUUGCUGCCUUCGGGAGCACCGGCCGGGCUCUGCUCCGCUCCCAAAUGGCGGCUUGCCUCCGGGGCCGCCUCCUUGGCCACCUUCUUAGCUUCUGGGUAUCCAGGGCGGAACCAGCAGGGAGCUGUGGCUCGCAACAUCUUGCUGCCUUCGGGAGCACCGGCCUGGCUCUGCUCCCCUCCCAAAUGGCGGCUUGCCUCCAGGGCCGCCUCCUCGGCCACCUUCUUAGCUUCUGGGUAUCCAGGGGGGAACCAGCAGGGAGCUGUGGCUCGCAACAU